RNAcentral lists this transfer RNA (57 nucleotides) under Heterakis gallinarum. RNAcentral's name for it is "tRNA-His". The record is from RNAcentral. Lineage: Eukaryota; Metazoa; Nematoda; Chromadorea; Rhabditida; Heterakidae.
AGCUUUUUAGUUUAAGUGUAAAAUUUUUGUGUGUGGAGCAAAGGAUUUUAGAAGCUU